CGGGAUGUGGCUCAGCUUGGUAGAGUACCUGUUUUGGGAACAGGGGGUCACAGGUUCGAAUCCUGUCAUCCCGA
Molecule: transfer RNA, 74 nt
Filed under: Phyllosiphon coccidium
Lineage: Eukaryota; Viridiplantae; Chlorophyta; Trebouxiophyceae; Watanabeales; Watanabeaceae
Also listed under: 1 other name
Description: tRNA-Pro
Rfam family: tRNA
About the family: Transfer RNA (tRNA) molecules are approximately 80 nucleotides in length. Their secondary structure includes four short double-helical elements and three loops (D, anti-codon, and T loops).
Source: RNAcentral